GAACCUUGAAGAACUUCCUCAUUAAAAACCUCACCAAGGAAAACCCUUUGGGACAAAACUUUGAUGAGGGAAAAAGAGUAAAGUCUCCAAGGCCUAGGGAUUGCCCAGUGAGUCUUUGUGUCUUAGUAUAAGUGGGUGUAGACACAAAGACUCAGGAUCAUGGCCUCUUCACUUCACCCCAUGCCUUGUACUCUUCUCACAGCCUGCUCGUGGUCUCUCCCCCUUUCACCUAACCUUCUUGUUAGGUUGAAGUGCUCGGACAUACCAGAUCAGCCUCUUCAUAGAGAUACAAGUACUAGCUGAGCCUUGGAUGCUUCUUCUUCAUGAGUCACCACCUUGUUGCUGGAACUACAUGAGGAUGCUUCAGCCUCUCUCCAACCACCUCAACACUUGAGACCGCCUUGGACAUUGCUUCUUCAUCCUUCACCAUACUUCCUAACCGGUUUGCUUCUCUUCUUGAAUAACAACCAAGGACUCUCGGAUCAUGUAAGCUUCAACACUCCCCCUCAAGCUUGAGACUCUCACAUGAACAAGCUUGGACAGACUGCUUCAUGAUCCGCACACACAAGCCAUUGCAACCUCUCUUCUGAAUUCGCCACCAUGAUGGAAUGCUUGUGGAAGCUUCAACUACUUCUUCAACCACCUCAACACUAGAAGUCAUACUGAUAGAGUAGCCUCCUUCUUCACACAGCCAAGAGUGCUCUGUCUUAGUUUGAACACUCUCUUGAAUAGACACGCCACUGCCUAGACCGGUUGGCUUCUUCUUCAGUUGCUUGCAAUGACUCUUUGAUCGCCUAGGAAGCUCACUUAACUCCCCUCCUCAAGCUUGGCCGAAUCUAGGCCUAAGCUUGGAGUGAGCUUCAGUGAGCUUUAACACCAUGUGGCCGCAUCAACACAGACUAGUAACCACUCUCCAUUGCUUCACACAAAUGGGCAAAGUCUUCCUUUUUCAACUCGGAUGAAUGGUGAGCUAAGAACACAACUUGUGAACCUGAAACAUCACUCAAACUCCAGCAAAGAUAAGACACAAUAGUAUUGGGAUCAAUCCUUGAUUAAUCAUCAAGUUUGAUUCCCAAUAUCACAAGCAAUGCAACAGAUUAAACAAGACAAUAUCAAGUUCUAAUCUUUGCAAGCAAACUCUCUAAGCACAAGCAUGAUCAUAACAGAUUCAAUACAAGCUACUUAAGCAUUUUCCUUUUUCUUUUAAAGCUCCUUUACUCAGCAAUUUAGACAUGAAUCUAAUGCUUCAAUAUAAGGCAGCCACAAGACAAUAUGCAUUAAUCUUAAUCAGUUUCUAACUCAUGAAUGCAAGUUGGAUAAAACAGAUUCUAUUAUCCAAACAAGUCAUUUCAUUUUAGAACUGGGAUUAAGCAUUUUAAACAUUCUCAAUCAUCAAACCAAGCUCUUUAAGCAUCCUGGGACAGAUUCUAUAACAUUUUAUUUAGCAAUCUUUAAACAAUCUUCAGGUUUUCAAUCACAUCACAACAUCACAACCAGUCAAUAACACAAGCUCAUUAACAAGAAGGGUUUUAAGAAUCGCUUACACAAGGAACCAGGUUGGUUCCUUAAACCUCAAAAGGGACUGGCCAUGGCUUUUGUUGGAUCUGAGAGUCAGGAUAGUCACCCACCUCCUUCUCCUUUAGUUCAUGGCCACCUUCUUGUUUCUACAACUCAAAGACCCCUCCUUUCUCCAAGUCUUCUAAGCGCCAUCUUCUUGGCAGCUUUCUGCAUGAACCGGAUGGGAAAACUCUUGGACAAGGCACCUUGGAUGAGGUUCGCGAGGCCUCUCCAUACACCUCUGCUUCCAAUGAGUCUCUCCAUCAGUAUGGACAGGAGAAAGGAUGAGAGACACGCCAGCUUCAGUCUUCUUCUCAUGGAGAAACUGAACUUGGAUGGGAAUGUCUUCAAGGGUUGGUUUUG
Molecule: long non-coding RNA, 1920 nt
Filed under: Brassica rapa (field mustard)
Lineage: Eukaryota; Viridiplantae; Streptophyta; Magnoliopsida; Brassicales; Brassicaceae
Description: long non-coding RNA (BRAP_LNC008998)
Source: RNAcentral